GACGAACGCUGGCGGCGUGCCUAAUACAUGCAAGUCGAACGCAUUUUCUUUCACCGUAGCUUGCUACACCGAAAGAAACUGGGUGGCGAACGGGGGAGUAACACGUGUGUCACCUGCCCAUCAGCGGGGGAUAACACUCGGAAACAGGUUCUAAUACCGCAUAAUUCCAUUUACCGCAUGGUAGAUCGAUGAAAGGCGCUUUUGCGUCACUGUUGGAUGGACCCGCGGUGCAUUAGCUAGUUGGAGGGGUAACGGCCUACCAAGGCUGCGAUGCAUAGCCGACCUGCGUGGGUGGUCAGCCGCCCUGGGACUGAGACACGCCACAGACUGCUACGGGAGGCGGCAGUAGGGAAACUUCAGCAAGGGACGCAAGUCUGACCGAGAAGCGCCGCGUGAGUGAAGAAGGUUGUCGGAUCGUAAAACUCUGUUGUUAGAAAAGAAAAAGGAUGAGAGUGGAAAGUUCAGCCCUUGACGGUAUCUAACCAGAAAGCCACGGCUAACUACGUG
Molecule: ribosomal RNA, 507 nt
Filed under: uncultured bacterium
Lineage: Bacteria
Description: partial 16S ribosomal RNA
Rfam family: Bacterial small subunit ribosomal RNA
Source: RNAcentral